UACAGAGGUCUCGAGCGUUAGGCGGAAUCACUGGGCUUAAAGCGUGUGUAGGUGGAUGCCUAAGUACCUUGUGAAAUCCCACGGCUUAACCGUGGAACUGCUUGGUAUACUGGGUGUCUUGAGUCACUCAGGGGCGAGCGGAACAAAUGGUGGAGCGGUGAAAUGCGUAGAUAUCGCUUGGAACGCCGAAGGUGAAAACAGGUUGCUGGGGUUGUGCCGACGCUGAGACACGAAAGCCAGGGGAGCAAACGGG
RNAcentral lists this ribosomal RNA (253 nucleotides) under uncultured bacterium. RNAcentral's name for it is "partial 16S ribosomal RNA". It matches the Rfam family "Bacterial small subunit ribosomal RNA", at positions 524 to 776 of the family's 1533-position model. The record is from RNAcentral.